GCGCUCGUAGCUCAAUCUAGGACAGAGCGGGACCUCUCCCGGGCAGAUGCAGGUUCGAGCCCUGCCGAGUGCACCA
RNAcentral lists this transfer RNA (76 nucleotides) under Mesorhizobium kowhaii. RNAcentral's name for it is "tRNA-Gly". It matches the Rfam family "tRNA". From Rfam's summary of the family: Transfer RNA (tRNA) molecules are approximately 80 nucleotides in length. Their secondary structure includes four short double-helical elements and three loops (D, anti-codon, and T loops). Further hydrogen bonds mediate the characteristic L-shaped molecular structure. tRNAs have two regions of fundamental functional importance: the anti-codon, which is responsible for specific mRNA codon recognition, and the 3' end, to which the tRNAs corresponding amino acid is attached (by aminoacyl-tRNA synthetases). tRNAs cope with the degeneracy of the genetic code in two manners: having more than one tRNA (with a specific anti-codon) for a particular amino acid; and 'wobble' base-pairing, i.e. permitting non-standard base-pairing at the 3rd anti-codon position. The record is from RNAcentral. Lineage: Bacteria; Pseudomonadati; Pseudomonadota; Alphaproteobacteria; Hyphomicrobiales; Phyllobacteriaceae.